AGCUUUCAGUUUAUCAUUAACUGUCGGGAGUGAUUGGAAACCUAUCAAAUUCUUUUGCUUUUAAUAUGGGUGGUUGUUGCAGUACGAGGAAAUCCGUUGACUUACCAACUGUACCACCCGCUACUGGUAAACCUAAUUCAAGGGAUUACCCAGCUACCGGGGUUACUACAACUGGAAAUCCCGGCACAAAUAUCGGUAGCACAAAUUUGGCGUUAGAGGAAGAUUAAAAGAAUUGUGCUAUAACCUUGAAAGAUAUUGUUUAAAUUUAAGCCUUUAUAUAAGUAUGUAGCUAAAUCUAAAUUUAAUAUGUACAUAAAUAGUACAUUAAAUAAAUUAUGUUAUGUUCGAACAUAAGUGUGAUUUUCCAAAUGUUCAUAUUGGUUUAUAUAUUUUAUCAAAUACUAUUAUGGGUUUUAUAUAUACAUAAUGCAUAUAUGAUAAUAUGGUUGACUCACAGUCAUUAAGUUGUGUGCACAUAUGUAUAUUGCUAGGUAUAACACGUGUAGAGGUAGUGGCAUUUGUAAAACUAAAAAAUUUAUAUUAAACGCAAAAAUAAAUAAAAAUUCCAAUAUGCUUACUAAUCAA
Bactrocera neohumeralis is the source of this 585-nucleotide long non-coding RNA. RefSeq lists it as uncharacterized. The record is from RefSeq and is a predicted model, not a curated record. The transcript has 2 exons. NCBI's taxonomy places the organism in Eukaryota, Metazoa, Arthropoda, Insecta, Diptera, Tephritidae.